This 1262-nucleotide ribosomal RNA is filed under the name uncultured bacterium. Its description in RNAcentral is "partial 16S ribosomal RNA". It matches the Rfam family "Bacterial small subunit ribosomal RNA", at positions 1 to 1273 of the family's 1533-position model. The record is from RNAcentral.
AUUAGAGUUUGAUCAUGGCUCAGGAUGAACGCUAGCGGCAGGCCUAAUACAUGCAAGUCGAACGAUACCGAGAGGCUUGCUUCUCGGGAAAGUGGCGCACGGGUGCGUAACGCGUAUGCAACCUACCUCAAUCAGGGGGAUAGCCCGAAGAAAUUCGGAUUAACACCGCAUAAAAUCACAGGAUAGCAUUAUCUAAUGAUCAAAUAUUUAUAGGAUUGAGAUGGGCAUGCGUGUCAUUAGUUAGUUGGCGAGGUAACGGCUCACCAGGACCACGAUGACUAGGGGAUCUGAGAGGAUGACCCCCCACACUGGUACUGAGACACGGACCAGACUCCUACGGGAGGCAGCAGUAAGGAAUAUUGGUCAAUGGAGGCAACUCUGAACCAGCCAUGCCGCGUGCAGGAAGACAGCCCUCUGGGUCGUAAACUGCUUUUAUUCGGGAAUAAACCUACUUACGUGUAAGUAGCUGAAUGUACCGAAGGAAUAAGGAUCGGCUAACUCCGUGCCAGCAGCCGCGGUAAUACGGAGGAUCCAAGCGUUAUCCGGAUUUAUUGGGUUUAAAGGGUGCGUAGGCGGCUUAUUAAGUCAGGGGUGAAAGACGGUGGCUCAACCAUCGCAGUGCCCUUGAUACUGAUGAGCUUGAAUACACUAGAGGUAGGCGGAAUGUGACAAGUAGCGGUGAAAUGCAUAGAUAUGUCACAGAACACCGAUUGCGAAGGCAGCUUACUAUGGUGUCAUUGACGCUGAGGCACGAAAGCGUGGGGAUCAAAAGGGAUUAGAUACCCCUGUAGUCCACGCCCUAAACGUUGUACACUAGGUCUCGGGGAAAUCAUCCUUUUCGGGGCCCAAGCUAACGCGAUAAGUGUACCGCCUGAGGACUACGACCGCAAGGUUAAAACUCAAAGAAAUUGACGGGGACCCGCACAAGCGGUGGAGCAUGUGGCUUAAUUCGAUGCAACGCGAAGAACCUUACCUGGGUUUGACAUGUAUUAGAAUAUAGCUGAAAGGUUAUAGUCCUUCGGGACUGGUACACAGAUGCUGCAUGGCUGUCGUCAGCUCGUGUCGUGAGAUGUUCGGUUAAGUCCGGCAACGAGCGCAACCCUCGCCCUAUGUUACUCUUCGGAGGUCUCUUAGGGGACAAACCUGAAUUCAGGUGGGAAGGUGGGGAUGACGUCAAGUCAGUAUGGCUCUUACAUCCAGGGCUGCACACGUGCUACAAUGGUCGGUACAAAGGGAAGCUACACUGUAAAGUGAUGCAAAUC